This 452-nucleotide long non-coding RNA is filed under the name Ananas comosus (pineapple). RNAcentral describes it as "long non-coding RNA (ACOM_LNC015552)". Lineage: Eukaryota; Viridiplantae; Streptophyta; Magnoliopsida; Poales; Bromeliaceae. The record is from RNAcentral.
GGAGUGUGAUCAAAUAUUUAGAAUUAGAUAGUAUAUUCGGCCUCUAAAUCAUUUAGGAUAAACAUAAAUCAUCAUUAAAUAAUAUAAAAUAAUUGUUUAUCUUUAAUAACUUAAUAUGAUAGAGAACAGUGUUUAAAUAUUUUUACAUCAUUCUCCCUCACUUUUGAACUCGAGAUUUUUCGCUAGGUCCAUGAUACGGACUUAAAUUAUAUAAGAGAAAGUUAAUUAUAUUAGGAGUAACGCCUGGACUCAAGAUUUUUUAUUAGACUUAUGACGUGAACGUAAAUUAUAUAGGAGAACAUUAAUAAUGCUACGAGUCUGACGUUACUCAAACUUGAGACCCCUUGCUCUGAUAUUAUGUUAAAUAAUAUAAAAUAAUCAUUUGUUUUAAUAGUUUAAGCAGGCAGAGAAUGAUGUUUAAUAUUUUUAGUUUAACAAUAUGUUAUCCAAUU